UUACAAGCAAGAGUUGUGGAAACCUGGACAACACAAGAUUGAACGUUCCAUGGUGUCGACGACAAAAGAUACGAGAAUCCUUAUUCAGUUUACCACCAAUUGCAACGCUUUAUCCCGACAACUAAUAAAAACAUACAUCGUCAUCAACUUGAUACUCAAACCAAUUAAUAAAAUGUGAUACUUACAUUGUUAUUCAGAACUAUUAUAUUUAAUUAAAAUAAAAAUUUCACCCUAAAACGUUUGGUAUAUGUGGGUCAUUCUUGUUCUUUGCCAGGCCCAGGGUGAAAAGUUAAUGCAAUGUGACCACAUUUAGUAAUUUUUAAAUUAAAAUUACUUUCGGUAAUUUUUUGUCAUUUUUGGAAGAUUUUUGUAGCAGUAAAAUGCAGACAUGUGAUCAGGAAGUGGUAUUUUUACUGAUAAUCAUCUUUAUAAAUCAUAAAUCUUAAUGUCAUUAUGUAUAUAGUAACUUAUGCUAAACUGUAAACUAUGGCAUGUUAAAAUUUUAUACCUGGGACCGGUUGUAUAAAACUCUUAAUUAAUCACUUUUUUAAUCACUAUUUUGACAUUUUGUAGUUAAAUAGUGAUUAACUCUCAAAUAGGC
Molecule: non-coding RNA, 601 nt
Organism: Paramuricea clavata
Lineage: Eukaryota; Metazoa; Cnidaria; Anthozoa; Malacalcyonacea; Plexauridae
Source: the annotation of a GenBank genome assembly